RNAcentral lists this ribosomal RNA (465 nucleotides) under uncultured Sphingobacteriales bacterium. Its description in RNAcentral is "bacterial SSU rRNA". It matches the Rfam family "Bacterial small subunit ribosomal RNA", at positions 917 to 1381 of the family's 1533-position model. Lineage: Bacteria; Pseudomonadati; Bacteroidota; Sphingobacteriia; Sphingobacteriales. The record is from RNAcentral.
GACGGGGCCGCACAAGCGUGGAGCAUGUGGUUUAAUUCGAUGAUACGCGAGGAACCUUACCUGGGCUCAAAUGUAUGUUGACGUAUUCUGAAAGGGAUACUUCUUCGGACAAUAUACAAGGUGCUGCAUGGUUGUCGUCAGCUCGUGCCGUGAGGUGUCGGGUUAAGUCCCAUAACGAGCGCAACCCCUAUCAUUAGUUGCCAUCAGGUCAAGCUGGGGACUCUAAUGAAACUGCCUACGCAAGUAGUGAGGAAGGUGGGGAUGACGUCAAAUCAGCACGGCCCUUACGUCCAGGGCUACACACGUGCUACAAUGGCCGGUACAAAGGGCGGCUACCUGGUGACAGGAUGCUAAUCUCAAAAGCCGGUCUCAGUUCGGAUCGGAGUCUGCAACCCGACUCCGUGAAGCUGGAAUCGCUAGUAAUCGCGCAUCAGCCAUGGCGCGGUGAAUACGUUCCCGGGCCUU